Non-coding RNA from Danio rerio (zebrafish), 74 nucleotides. The record is from Rfam. Lineage: Eukaryota; Metazoa; Chordata; Actinopteri; Cypriniformes; Danionidae.
GUCUCUGUGGCGCAAUCGGUUAGCGCGUUCAGCUGUUAACUGAAAGGUUGGUGGUUCAAGCCCACCCAGGGACG